AGUGAACGCUGGCGGUAGGCCUAACACAUGCAAGUCGAACGGCAGCACAGUAAGAGCUUGCUCUUACGGGUGGCGAGUGACGGACGGGUGAGGAAUACAUCGGAAUCUACUUUUUCGUGGGGGAUAACGUAGGGAAACUUACGCUAAUACCGCAUACGACCUACGGGUGAAAGCAGGGGAUCUUCGGACCUUGCGCGAUUGAAUGAGCUGAUGUCGGAUUAGCUAGUUGGCGGGGUAAAGGCCCACCAAGGCGACGAUCCGUAGCUGGUCUGAGAGGAUGAUCAGCCACACUGGAACUGAGACACGGUCCAGACUCCUACGGGAGGCAGCAGUGGGGAAUAUUGGACAAUGGGCGCAAGCCUGAUCCAGCCAUACCGCGUGGGUGAAGAAGGCCUUCGGGUUGUAAAGCCCUUUUGUUGGGAAAGAAAAGCAGCAGGUUAAUACCCCGCUGUUCUGACGGUACCCAAAGAAUAAGCACCGGCUAACUUCGUG
RNAcentral lists this ribosomal RNA (492 nucleotides) under uncultured bacterium. RNAcentral describes it as "partial 16S ribosomal RNA". It matches the Rfam family "Bacterial small subunit ribosomal RNA", at positions 29 to 507 of the family's 1533-position model. The record is from RNAcentral.